UUUUAUUAUCCAACUUGUAUUAAAAGGGAUGAAAUGAUGAGAUUCAGAACAAUCGAAGGUUCUACUGAAAGCAUAGGUCACGACUGGUCUGUUUAUUUUGUUUGUAAAGAAUUCAGGUUUUGCGAAGAAAAAACAUUCCGAACUAAUGUCAGAUCAUGUACCGAAGAAGAAGUUGAAACUUCUCUUUGUUGUGAAACAUGUAUUUGGCAAAGGUCUAUUUUAUGUUUUGAAAACCUCUGUUUGUUAUGAACAGAUGUUAGAAAAUAAAACAGUGGUUGAUAUAUCUGUUGACUUUGGUCAACAGAUGGAUGAAAACAGAUGGUUGAAACCACUGUUGGGAUAAAAUCAAUGUUUUGUGGAGAAAACAGUGGUUGAAACCACUGUUGGGUUAAAACAGUGGUUUGAAACCAUUGUUGGGUUAAAACGGUGGUUUGAAACCACUGUUGGGUUAAAACAGUGUUUUGUAGAGAAACCAGAUGUUUGAAACCACUGUUUGGUUAAAACGGUGGUUUGACUGUGGUCGAAUAAUACUGUUUCUUUAAUCCCUCACGUUUAAUUUAAAACCAUUGUAUCGAAUAAUACUCUACCAUGGUUUUAAGUUGAUUUACAGGUCUUGAACGAGUGCUCGGAAGUAGAGACUUGGUUGAGAAAGUAGCAGCAACUUUAAGACACUUCCAAAGCACACUGAACCCGUUCUUCUGUCAUUUGAUAUUAGAAAGAAAGCAGAAACACUCCAUAGGUAUAUUCUCAACUUAAACCAUAUAGCAGUAACACGCAUGAGGACAUUAUAUCUUUGUGUAGUUUUCCAAAGGAAUGGAACAACAGUUGAUGAUAUUUUUUUUUAUUUUUAUCAGUUUUUUUUUUUGUAGUAUUUAUCUUUGACUUUUUUUUAGGCAAACCUAAUGAUGAUUGACUUUUUGUAAUUUGAAAAAAAGAACGUGAAAGGUUUGUGAUUUCUACUAAAAAGCAAACCCAAUGAUGAUUGACUUUUUGUUCCACAUGUGGUAGUAGCCGAUACAUAUUCAAUCACAUUAAAUAAAGUUGUAGUUGUAGAAACCGCCGGCGAGAAUGUGAAGCAGGUGUGUGAGUGUCUACUCGGUAAAACUAGCUGUAGAAACCACCUCGACAACAUAGUCUUAGGUUAGUUUACAUAUUUGUAGUAUACAGAUAAUUAGAUACUGCAUAAUACAUCACACUCAUAAGUCAUAAGUUCUCAUUAGUUAUUUAAAAAGUCAUUUUUAGCUAAAAAAUAUAUCUACAUGACAGUGGCUAUUCAUGUUGAUUUGAGUUUGAGAACUUUAUGAUGAAUCUAUUUAUUCCUUCCAUAAAAUACAUUUUACUAACCACUGCCAGUUACUUGCUGUCGUAAACCACUGUUAACAGCAUCCAAACUUCCUACAAUGGUGGAGAUCGAGGAGUUUUUCGCAGUAGAGGAAAAAAAAAGAACAAAAAUGGUUCUCAGACAAGUACAACUUUGAUGUGUGAAUGAUGUACAACAAAUUCGUCCUAUAUAUUUUAUUUGUUCUUUUUCAAUUUAAUUAAUUUACAGAAAAUACAACAAAUUCAUCCUAUAUAUUAAGUUACCCUGGAGGCGGCAACUAGAAACCGCCACAACCGCAGUCAAAAUUGAUUCGGUCCGGUAGGUCAGAGGGUGUCUGAGGAAGGAGCCAUCGUUGGGGCAGAAGGAUUUAAAUCGGCAAGUGGAAGAUUUUUUAAAAAAGUUAACAAGGGUAUGAGAUUACAGCGGCAAGAACUUUGUGUGUAUAGUGGAUAAUGUUCCAAAAGAAGUAUGUUUUUUCCUAUUUUCUUUUUCGAUUUUGAUUUCCUGUUCUUAUUCUGAAUUAACCAAUUUAUGUUAGAUAUAUUCUUCAGACUUGUGCCCAUGUGAUCAAAUCAUAUAUGAGGACUUUUAUCACGCACACCAAGUGUUUGAUGAUAUGUUAAGGAGAGGAUAUCAUCCAGAUGGUGUGACUUGCACAAAACUGAUAAAAGUGUACAUGGUGUUCAUGAAAAGUGGGCAAGGAUAGAGAAUCAAGGGAAGAUGGUGAUGAGAGUCACUGACAUUUUUGGUAUUUUCAAGCAAAUUGAGAGAAACUUUCACAUUAGCUCACUCAAUUUUUUUAUGUUGUGAAAACAAAUUAGUUAAUACACUAAAAAUAUAGUAACCCAAUCAUGUUUUUUCGGGUAUUCUGAAUAGCAAUCAACAACCCUUUACAUGCCGCUACAGGUGGAUGAGGAUUAAGACCUACUCCAGGAACCAGUUCUCGAACAUGAUGCUUCUGGUCCUUUAUUGUUCUCAGUUUGGGAACUCGUGUUGAGUGGAACUCGCCGAGCUUGGAACACAUAUCGUAUGACAUGGUGGCUGAAUACUUCUCUCUCCUAGGAGCAUUCGAGUCUGAACUAGAGUUGUCUACCCGACAACCUGAGCCAUUUCAUGAGCAAAUUCGAAUUUAAAACUUAGGGGCAUCAUUUGAUUUGUUGGAUUUUAAUCCAACUGGAUUAGCUCAUUUUGGUAGCACAUAAAUGAUCACAACUUCGUAAAUAAUAAUCAUAUAGUUUGUUGGAUUUUAAUUCAACAUCUUGAAUUUAAAACAUAGGGACAUC
Molecule: long non-coding RNA, 2604 nt
Organism: Helianthus annuus (common sunflower)
Lineage: Eukaryota; Viridiplantae; Streptophyta; Magnoliopsida; Asterales; Asteraceae
Exons: 4
Source: RefSeq, a predicted model, not a curated record